Molecule: ribosomal RNA, 464 nt
Filed under: uncultured bacterium
Lineage: Bacteria
Description: partial 16S ribosomal RNA
Rfam family: Bacterial small subunit ribosomal RNA
Source: RNAcentral
GACGAACGCUGGCGGCGUGCUUAACACAUGCAAGUCGAGCGGUAAGGCCUCUUCGGGGGUACACGAGCGGCGAACGGGUGAGUAACACGUGGGUGACCUGCCCUCAGCUCUGGGAUAAGCCUGGGAAACUGGGUCUAAUACCGGAUAUGACCACAUGUUGCAUGGUGUGUGGUGGAAAGUUUUUUCGGCUGGGGAUGGGCCCGCGGCCUAUCAGCUUGUUGGUGGGGUGAUGGCCUACCAAGGCGACGACGGGUAGCCGGCCUGAGAGGGCGACCGGCCACACUGGGACUGAGACACAGCCCAGACUCCUACGGGAGGCAGCAGUGGGGAAUAUUGCGCAAUGGGCGGAAGCCUGACGCAGCGACGCCGCGUGGGGGAUGACGGCCUUCGGGUUGUAAACCUCUUUCGACCGGGACGAAGCGUAAGUGACGGUACCGGUAGAAGAAGCACCGGCCAACUACGUG